GAGCAAGACUCUGUCUCAAAAAAAAAGAAAAACAGAAAAAAGAAAGAAAAGGACAAGAAUGAAAAUAAAGAUCAAAUAUCAGAUAUUCAUUAAAUAGGGCAAUAAUAAAAAGAACGAAGAAAGCUGAGGUUGGGCCGGGUGCAGUGGCUCACGCCUGUAAUCCCAGCACUUUGGGAGGCCGAGGCGGGUGGAUCACGAGGUCAGGAGAUCGAGACCAUCCUGGCUAACACAGUGAAACCCCUCUCUACUAAAAAUACAAAAACAAAAUUAGCCGGGCAUCGUGGCGGGCACCUGUAGUCCCAGCUACUCAGGAGGCUGAGGUGGGAGAAUGGCAUGCACCCAGGAGGCGGAGUUUGCAGUGAGCCGAGAUUGCACCACUGCACUCCAGCCUGGGCAACAGAGCGAGACUCUGUCUCGAAAAAACAACAAAAAAAAGAAAAUCGCUUGAACCUGGGAGGCAGAGGUUGCAGUGAACCAAGAUUGUGCCACUGCACUCCAGCCUGGGCAACAAGAGUGAAACUCUACCUCAAAAAAAAAGAAAGGGGACAUAAAUACAGACACCAGAGACAUUUUAAAGUAAGAAUAUAUUAUUAGAACUUGCCCUGUGGAGACACCUAAAAAAUAAAUAAGGAAUAUUAUGAACAACUUGGACAAUAAAUUUGAAAACAGAUAAAAUGGAUUAGUUCCUACAAAAAUAUAACUUCGCUGGACUCAGUGGCUCAUGCCUGGGAUCCCAACACUCUGGGAGGCCGAGUCAGGCUGAUUGCUUUGAAGCCAGGUGUUUGAGACCAGGCUGGGCAACAUAAUAAAACCCCAUCUCUACAAAAAAUACGCACACACAAAAAAUUAGCUAGGCAUAGUGGUGCAAGCCUGUAGUCCCAGCCACUCAGGAGGCUGAGGUGGGAGGAUGGCUUGAGCUCGGGAGGUGGAGGCUGCAGUGAGCCUAGAACAUGCCACUGUACUCCAGCCUGAGCAACAGAGUGAGACCCUGUCUCAAAAAAAAAAAAAAAAAAAGACUUAAAAUCAUUUCUUUUUAAAAAUCAGUUAAAAGUAGUCCUAACAGGCCGGGCGCAGUGGCUCAUGCCUGUAAUACCAGCACUUUGGGAGGCUGAGGCAGGCGGAUCAUGAGGUCAAGAGAUCGAGACUAUCCUAGCCAACAUGGUGAAACCCCGCCUCUACUAAAAAUGCAAAAAUUAGCUGGGUGUGGUGGUGCACGCCUGUAGUCUCAACUACUCAGGAGGCUGAGGCAGGAGAAUCACUUGAACCCGGGAGGCGGAGGGUGCAGUGAGCCGAGAUCACUGUACUCCAGCCUGGUGACAGAGCGAGACUCUGUCUCAAAAAUAGUCCUAAUAUAUACACACAAAACUCUACACAGAUGACCAAG
Molecule: long non-coding RNA, 1384 nt
Filed under: Homo sapiens (human)
Lineage: Eukaryota; Metazoa; Chordata; Mammalia; Primates; Hominidae
Description: HSALNT0276944
Source: RNAcentral